GGGGGCGUACUGGUUUCGACUUGGUAGUCGAGGUUCAGGUGGCAUGCAGAGGACGUCGGUUGGCCUCUUUAAUCAUUCCGGCACAGCAGAUAACUGCAAAACGUAAAGAUGAAGCAGAAACGCUUCUCGCCGCUUAAUACCUAACAGUAGUAAGUAGCCGAUCUCCUUAGGUUGGACCAAGGAUUUAAGAUGAGA
This 195-nucleotide transfer-messenger RNA is filed under the name Chlamydiota bacterium. Its description in RNAcentral is "Chlamydiae bacterium (freshwater metagenome) partial transfer-messenger RNA". It matches the Rfam family "transfer-messenger RNA", at positions 1 to 183 of the family's 374-position model. Rfam says of the family: Bacterial tmRNA, also known as 10Sa RNA or SsrA, is named for its dual tRNA and mRNA-like properties. Its role is to liberate the mRNA from a stalled ribosome. Lineage: Bacteria; Pseudomonadati; Chlamydiota. The record is from RNAcentral.